Hyaena hyaena (striped hyena) is the source of this 371-nucleotide long non-coding RNA. RefSeq lists it as uncharacterized. The record is from RefSeq and is a predicted model, not a curated record. NCBI's taxonomy places the organism in Eukaryota, Metazoa, Chordata, Mammalia, Carnivora, Hyaenidae. The transcript is spliced from 4 exons.
GGGAGGGCAUGUUCUCAGCAGGAUGUACCGACCAGCGCAGUGAGGCCAGAGAGCCAACACUACUUUUUCCAGACCUGCUGGCACCUGGUGAAAUGGCCUUUUCUAGCAGAGACAGAACAUUUCUUCCUCUGGAGCCACAGAUGAAACUCGUCUGAGGAAGCAUAUCAACACUUACAGAACCAGUAUUUGUAAUUUCAGCGCAAAGGAUCUCACAAAGAUCUCAAACCCAUAUAAUGCAGGCUUGGGAAAGAAUCACUGCACUUAAGGAGAGAGGAAUCUGCAAAAGGAGAAGCAGGUGCCUUGCUGGAGGCCAGGAAACUACAGGGGAGAAAACAGGCUGACACAACCACAUUACCGAGUUGGAAGAGAAC